GGGUCGUUAGCUCAGUUGGUAGAGCAGUUGACUUUUAAUCAAUUGGUCGCUGGUUCGAGCCGAGCGAAGCGAGACGACAACGCGAACGCGUUGCCCGCAGGGUGAGGUCGAAGACCGAAUCAAUCCAGCACGGCCCACCA
Molecule: transfer RNA, 140 nt
Filed under: Ewingella americana
Lineage: Bacteria; Pseudomonadati; Pseudomonadota; Gammaproteobacteria; Enterobacterales; Yersiniaceae
Description: tRNA-Lys
Rfam family: RtT RNA
About the family: This family represents a bacterial cis-regulatory element known as RtT RNA. The exact function of RtT is unknown although it is thought that it may be involved in changing the cellular response in relation to amino acid starvation.
Source: RNAcentral